This 317-nucleotide ribosomal RNA is filed under the name Methylobacterium sp. RNAcentral describes it as "bacterial SSU rRNA". It matches the Rfam family "Bacterial small subunit ribosomal RNA", at positions 950 to 1267 of the family's 1533-position model. The record is from RNAcentral. Lineage: Bacteria; Pseudomonadati; Pseudomonadota; Alphaproteobacteria; Hyphomicrobiales; Methylobacteriaceae.
CUUCCUUAACGCGAAAGAACCUUACCAUCCUUUGACAUGGCGUGUUACGUGGAGAGAUUCACGGUCCACUUCGGUGGCGCGCACACAGGUGCUGCAUGGCUGUYGUCAGCUCGUGUCGUGAGAUGUUGGGUUAAGUCCCGCAACGAGCGCAACCCACGUCCUUAGUUGCCAUCAUUCAGUUGGGCACUCUAGGGAGACUGCCGGUGAUAAGCCGCGAGGAAGGUGUGGAUGACGUCAAGUCCUCAUGGCCCUUACGGGAUGGGCUACACACGUGCUACAAUGGCGGUGACAGUGGGACGCGAAGGAGCGAUCUGGAG